CAUGGACCAUCAGACUCAGAGGGAGCAGAGGACGACAGCCACAGAAACACGCUUCAGAAUGAGACUCUACAGGAGAGGGACAGGCAGGCUACAAGCAACGUGACACAGAGCUGAGAUCAAGGCCUUUGGGCAUCGUUGCUGCACCGAUAAAACAGCUGGGCCCACAGCUGCAUGAAGCCAGUUCCACCAACACCUCCAUGAGACUGGAAGGGGACUAAGGUUUAAGGUGGAAACUCGAGCCGUUGGGCGCCAUUUGUUGCUGGAGGGCUUCUCUCAAGGUUCCCCAAGCCCCGAAGGUGAGGCCAGGAUGCAGGACGGGGCCUGAGUCUUGAUGCAGAGCAGGAAAGGAGCCUGAGACUC
Peromyscus maniculatus bairdii (prairie deer mouse) is the source of this 360-nucleotide non-coding RNA. Lineage: Eukaryota; Metazoa; Chordata; Mammalia; Rodentia; Cricetidae. The record is from RefSeq and is a predicted model, not a curated record.